UACGGAGGAUGCGAGCGUUAUCCGGAUUUAUUGGGUUUAAAGGGUGCGUAGGCGGGAUGCCAAGUUAGCGGUAAAAAUGCGGUGCUCAACGCCGUCGAGCCGCUGAAACUGGCGUUCUUGAGUGGGCGAGAAGUAUGCGGAAUGCGUGGUGUAGCGGUGAAAUGCAUAGAUAUCACGCAGAACUCCGAUUGCGAAGGCAGCAUACCGGCGCCCUACUGACGCUGAGGCACGAAAGCGUGGGUAUCGAACAGG
Molecule: ribosomal RNA, 252 nt
Filed under: uncultured bacterium
Lineage: Bacteria
Description: partial 16S ribosomal RNA
Rfam family: Bacterial small subunit ribosomal RNA
Source: RNAcentral